AAUCGUCUUUUUUUACCUCUCAUAAAACUGAUUUUUCUGAGAUCCCUUCUUCUGCGUACUCAACUCUUCUUUGGUUCUUUACAUCAUCUUGAACAAGUGAUUGCAACAUCUGCAUCUUUUUGUUGAUUCGGAUUCAGUAGUACUUGAAGGAUUUGUAGUCCAGCAAAAGUUUAAAUUUGAUGCAGUUGCCACUACCAAGACUACCUCAAUCAUCUCCAGUCUCCACCAACAAAACAGAUGAUAUACAGAUGAUCGUUGGAAAAGAAUCAUUGGUCUCUACAGAGGUUAUUGGUUUAUUGACCUGCCCUGUGAAUGCCCAGUCAAUGACCAAACCUAAUGGCCAGGAGUGCAUGCUGCAUGAAAAGAUAAUCCAGAACCUCUGCUCAUACUCUGGUAGAGCUACAACGAAGGUGGACGAUUUUUCUUCUUCCCAAAUUAUCAUAGAUCCUUUGUGCUUUAAUUUAGAAGCUUGACAAAUGUGGAAGUUACAAAGAGGCCUAAUUGGAAGGAGUGCCGGAAUUGAGAACUGACAAUCGUGGGCUUGAGGUCUAUGUUUGUGGUGAAUAUAAUUUGCGUGCUUUGUUAGUUUAAGGUUUUGGAUUUCAAGUUCAUGUCUUUUCAGAUUGUAAAUUUGUGAUUCAGAAGUGCUAAUUGGCUAUCUUCUAAUUUGAUACUGUAUUUCUUUAGCUAAGUGUUCAGUACAAUGAACACCAUUUUCUCUCAUUUCAGAGCUUGCAUAUAUGUGCUUAUGAAUUUGGGACCUUCAAAGCCUCAUAACUCCUGGAAAUGUGUAGAUGUUGCUGAGUGUUAUGGUGUCGGUAAUUGGCCAAUCGGAUUUAGGGCGUCACUAUGUCUGCUCUUUGGUGAUAACAAAUCCCUUCAUAAUCAAGGGUGUAAAUUUUUGAUUUUCUUCGGAUCCGCGGGAGUAAUUCGGGGCCGUUGAUUCUGUUUUUGCUCGAGGUAAUUCUUUUUUAUGAGUUCGUUUAUAAAUUUCUUUCUCUGAGAAUUCAAGACCCAGAAUUCCGGUUUUUUGUUUAGCAAAUAUUAGGGUUUAUAACUCCUUUAUCUCAGACAUUAACAAUUCCCAUGUUUGAAUGAUCGUUGCGCUGAAACCAAUUCAAAGAGACGUCCUAGGUUUAGGCAGAGCAAAUAUUAGAUGAGCUUUUCGGUUAUAAAUUUCGCUCGAUUUCUUUCUCGUGUUCUUCGUUCUCGAUUUUCUUCAUGAUUUUGUGUUGAUUGCUUUGUAUUCUUAAUUUUUUGGUUGAUGCCCGUCUCUCUCGAAACUAUGGCACUCGAGGUUUAUCAUGCAGGUGUUGGUGAUUUUUUAUUUUGUUCAAUGUAUCAAUAACCCAAAUCAACUGUGAUACACCGUUAUUUAUAUUGGUUUUAGGUAACCAAUCAAUGAAGCCAAUUUAUACCCUUGCAUAGCUUUGUCGGAUUUUGAUACACAGUUGAGUUGUUUGUUGGUUUUGUAUAUGGUGGUGACGUUGUAUCUGGAUAGAAGAGUGUUGUAUUGGUCAACUUAUGUGCUUCAUUCAAGGCUGUUUGUCUCUCCUUAAUAUUGGGUGCUCGCAUUCAUUGGUUUACUUGCCCCGACUUUGGCUACGACAAUUCUUAAGAAGAACGAAAGCUCUAGCAAAGAUUAAUUUUAAGAAAAGAAAGGCAACCAUUUUCCUGAGGAAUAAUGUGUUGAAACAAAAUCAUCCUAGAUCAUGAGGUGAUGACCCAUGUCAAUCCAAAUGUCACUUAGCUCAUUGUCGUCGGAUCAGUGAAGUCCAUGCCUGCAAUCUUAUGCUUAUUGUCAGAAGUCAGAACCCGAUGAGAUACAGUCAUGUAUUGCCAUUGAACGCUAGCAUCUCAGAUAAUGCAUGGCUUAGGGCUGCCAGUGAGUUGGAAUUGUAUGGAGCAGUCUAGCGUUGAUAAUUCAAAUCGCACAUGAAAGGUAACGUCUGUAUGACUACGAAAGAGGUGAUAGAAGAAUGCAAGUUUUUCUGUUUCGCUGGCCAAGAUACAACCUCAGAUUGUGUUACAUGGAACAUUAUAGUCUUGAGCAUGCAUCAAGAUUGGCAAGAAAAGGCCAGAGAAGAGGUCAUAAGAAUCUGUGGGAAAAACCCACUUCAGUUUGAAAGUCUUGCCGAUCUAAAGACUGUAACCAUGAUCCUAUAUGAAGUUCACAGGUUACAUCCACCUGUGAUCCAACAACAUGGGUGUACAUACAAAAAAAGUGCAGAUUAGAGAUCUCAACCUUCCUGCUGGGGUCGAGAUUAUACUACCAACACUUACUAUUCAUCAUCAUCCUGAACUAUGGGGUGAAGAUGUACAAGACUUCAUACCAGAGAUUCUGUAAGGGGAAUAUCCAAAGCGGCUAGAAUGCCAUCUUAGCUUCAGCAAUGGCGAAGUUUUGCCCUAUACAGAUCCUUGGUCCCCAUCCAAACGGAAAGAACGCUACUGGGCACCACCUCUAUCUAUUUACUGAUAUGCAUAUAAAGAUUCUGAUCAGGAGCAUUAUGAGGAUCAGACUUCAUCGUCGUUUCACCAUCCCUGUAAAUAUUCAGAUCUUCCUCUUUUUUGUAACUUCAGGUAACAAACUUUCUGCAAGUUGCGGGUCUUUAAUAUUAUUAGGUAUUGUUCAUUGAUUUAGAUCUCACAAAUUGUUAAAUAGCUGGUUCAUAAGCUACUAGAGUUGAUGAUAAUUUGUUGGUUUACUUGGUAUCUGUAUUGAAUCCCACAUAAAGUGAGGUGUGAUUUGGCCGUGGAAAGUAAUUUUGGUGAAUUGAAUGAGGAACUUCAUAUAGUCUUCGUGAUUUUGAAUUUCUGAGG
Long non-coding RNA from Papaver somniferum (opium poppy), 2820 nucleotides. RefSeq lists it as uncharacterized. The transcript is spliced from 11 exons. The record is from RefSeq and is a predicted model, not a curated record. Lineage: Eukaryota; Viridiplantae; Streptophyta; Magnoliopsida; Ranunculales; Papaveraceae.